Molecule: ribosomal RNA, 117 nt
Filed under: Paramormyrops kingsleyae
Lineage: Eukaryota; Metazoa; Chordata; Actinopteri; Osteoglossiformes; Mormyridae
Source: RNAcentral
GUCAGCAGCCCUACCACCUGCAGUUCAGACUGAGUAAUUUACCUGAAACUAAGUAGAUUUGGGUCUGGCCAGUACUUGCAUGGGGGAUCAAUUAGGAAAGCUGGGUUGCUGCUGGAA